UUUUUUUUUUUUUUUUUAAGUUGUGCUAAUAGCAUGUAGAAGUUCCUGGGCCAGGGAUCAAACCCACACCACAGUGGUGACCCAAGCCACAGCAGUGACAAUGCUGGAUGCUUCAGCACUAGGCCACCAGGAAACUCCACCUAUUUUUCCUUUUUAAACAAAGAAGGCAUAGGUCUCAGAGUUUCACAAUGAUCAGAAACUGGUUAAGGAGUUCCCUGGUGGCUCAGCAGGUUAAGGAUCUGGUGGUGUCACUGAAGUGGCUCUGAUUACUGUGGUGGCACCGGUUCAAUCCCUGGCCCAGGAACUUCCACAUGCCACAAAGGCAGCCAGAAAAAAGGAAAAAGACUUUAAUAACAUUGUUUUGUUUUCAUUGUAUGGUUGUUCUUUUUGUUUUGUUUUUUUUUAAUGAUCACACUUGAAGCAUAUGAAAGUUUCCCUGCUAGGGGUUGAAUUGGAGUUGCAGCUCCUGGCCUACACCACAGCAACACCGGACCCUAGCCAUAUCUGUGACCUGUGCUGCUGCUUGCAGCAAUGCCAGAUCCUUAACCCACUAAGCAAGGCCAGGGAUCCACAUCCUCGAGGAUACUAUGUCAGUUUCUUAACCUGCUGAGCCAUAAUGAGAGCUCUGUAUGUAUUUAUUUUUAUGGUUUUGUUUUCUCAGGCAAGUGACAGGUUUUCCACUAAUGGUAAUGAUACAGAUUAUUUUAAAAUAAAUUUAAAAGUCACAGCUGCAGCUCAGAUUCUAUCCUUGGCCCAAGAACUUCCACAUGCCCUAGGGUUAGCUGAAAUAAUAAUAAUAAUAAUAAUAAUAANUAAUAAUAAUAAUAAUAAAUGCUUUCUAACUGAUGGCCUUACACACUACAUUUGCUCCCUUUUAAAUUACUUCCCCCACAGUAUUCAGAGCUAUCUUUCUAAAGCGCAAGCCUAAUUACACCACUCCAAUUAAAUCUCUUCAGCUUUUCCCACUGUCUUUAAAACAAAUGUCAAAAACUUUAAAAUGGCUUACAAAGCUGAGUCCGUCUACCUCUGAAGCCUCGUCUCACCCAUCUCUAUAUUCCAACUGUUUAAGUCUCUUCUUAGGUCCUCAAGUAGAACAAGAUCUUUUUACGCACUCUCUCUGUCCAUCAUUCCUCCCCAUCUCAUGGCCUGACUAACCUCUGCUCUUCUUUCAUGUCCAAAGUAAAACGUCACUUCCACAGAGAACCUUUUUUUGAACUGUCCCCAACAAUCAAGAUGCCCAUAGUGGAGUUCCCGUUGUGGUGCCAAAGAAAUGAAUCUGACUAGGAACCAUGAGGUUUCAGGUUCAAUCCCUGGCCUCACUCAGUGGGUUAAGGAUCCAGCGUUGCCCUGAGCUGUGGUGUAGGUGGAAGACGUGGCUCGGUUCUGGCAUUGCCGGGGCUGUGACGUAGGCCAGCAGCUGUAGCUCCAAUUUGACCCCUAGCCUGAGAACCUCCAUAUGCUGUGGGUGUGGCCCUAAAAAGACAAAAAGACAAAAAAAAGAAAAAAAGAAAAAAAAAUUUUUAAAGUGAAUAAUGGUGGCGUUCCCAUCAUGGCGCAGUGGUUAACAAAUCUGACUAGGAACCAUGAAGUUGUGGGUUCGGUCUCUGGCCUCGCUCAUGGGUUAAGGAUCUGGCAUUGCUGUGAGCUGUGGUGUAGGUCACAGAUGCAGCUCGGAUCUGGCAUUACUGUGGCUGUGGGGUAGGCCAGCAGCUGCAGCUCUGAUUUGACCCCUAGCCUGGGAACCUCCAUAGGCCACAGUGCAGCCCUAAAAGGCCAAAAAAAGAGAGAGAGAGAGAAGUCUACAGGCAGCUUUUGCAGACAGCUAUAUAAUGAGCCACAAAUUGUAAACCCUGGAUUCAGUUCCUACUCUCGGUCAUCCUUGCAUAUGUCAUCUCUGCCCUUUGAAAAUAUUUACUGGAGGCAUGAGAAUACACAGUCCUGGGAAAAUGGAAAUCUACCACUCACCACCUAUGUGACCUUUGGUAAGCCAGUGUUUUCAGCUCAAAGUGAGGUGAUUUCUAGCACAGUGGUUAAAAGAGUAAGUCUGGGACAGUCCACAAGGGUUCAGAUCCUAGCUUCGUGUUAGCUGAGUGACCACAGACAAAUUACACAUCAAUAAAGCCCCAGUUUCCUCAUCUGUGGAAAGAAAGGGAGGGGGUUGUAAAAACUACCUAUCUCAGGAGUAUGUGUGAAAAUUAAAUGAUAAAUAUAAAAGGCUGAGGACAGUG
This 2228-nucleotide long non-coding RNA is filed under the name Sus scrofa (pig). Its description in RNAcentral is "lncRNA (ENSSSCG00040057535.1)". The record is from RNAcentral. Lineage: Eukaryota; Metazoa; Chordata; Mammalia; Artiodactyla; Suidae.